CAGUAGCCGCGGUAAUACGAAGGGGGCUAGCGUUACUCGGAAUUACUGGGCGUAAAGGGCGCGUAGGCAGCACGAUUAGUCAGGCGUGAAAUUCCUGGGCUCAACCUGGGGACUGCGCUUGAUACGGUCGAGCUAGAGGAUGGAAGAGGGUUGUGGAAUUCCCAGUGUAGAGGUGAAAUUCGUAGAUAUUGGGAAGAACACCGGUGGCGAAGGCGGCAACCUGGUCCAUUACUGACGCUGAGGCGCGAUAGCGUGGGGAGCAAACAGGAUUAGAUACCCCUGUAGUCCCUGUCUCUUAUAC
This 301-nucleotide ribosomal RNA is filed under the name uncultured bacterium. Its description in RNAcentral is "partial 16S ribosomal RNA". It matches the Rfam family "Bacterial small subunit ribosomal RNA", at positions 509 to 807 of the family's 1533-position model. The record is from RNAcentral.